RNAcentral lists this ribosomal RNA (487 nucleotides) under uncultured Pseudomonadota bacterium. Its description in RNAcentral is "bacterial SSU rRNA". It matches the Rfam family "Bacterial small subunit ribosomal RNA", at positions 30 to 510 of the family's 1533-position model. Lineage: Bacteria; Pseudomonadati; Pseudomonadota. The record is from RNAcentral.
AUUGAACGCUGGCGGCAGGCUUAACACAUGCAAGUCGAGCGGGGGAGGUUGCUUCGGUAACUGACCUAGCGGCGGACGGGUGAGUAAUACUUAGGAAUCUGCCUAUUAAUGGGGGGCAACAUCUCGAAAGGGAUGCUAAUACCGCAUACGCCCUACGGGGGAAAGCAGGGGAUCACUUGUGACCUUGCGUUAAUAGAUGAGCCUAAGUCGGAUUAGCUAGUUGGUGGGGUAAAGGCCUACCAAGGCGACGAUCUGUAGCGGGUCUGAGAGGAUGAUCCGCCACACUGGGACUGAGACACGGCCCAGACUCCUACGGGAGGCAGCAGUGGGGAAUAUUGCACAAUGGGCGCAAGCCUGAUGCAGCCAUGCCGCGUGUAUGAAGAAGGCCUUAGGGUUGUAAAGUCUUUUGUCAGGGAAGAAAGGAAUUUGUUAAUACCAGAUUUUGCUGACGGUACCUGAAGAAUAAGCACCGGCUAACUACGUGCCA